RNAcentral lists this ribosomal RNA (215 nucleotides) under uncultured bacterium. RNAcentral's name for it is "partial 16S ribosomal RNA". It matches the Rfam family "Bacterial small subunit ribosomal RNA", at positions 524 to 737 of the family's 1533-position model. The record is from RNAcentral.
UACGUAGGGUGCAAGCGUUAAUCGGAAUUACUGGGCGUAAAGCGUGCGCAGGCGGUUUUGUAAGUCUGUUGUGAAAUCCCCGGGCUCAACCUGGGAAUUGCGAUGGAGACUGCAAGGCUAGAAUCUGGCAGAGGGGGGUAGAAUUCCACGUGUAGCAGUGAAAUGCGUAGAGAUGUGGAGGAACACCGAUGGCGAAGGCAGCCCCCUCGGGUCGA